RNAcentral lists this ribosomal RNA (425 nucleotides) under uncultured bacterium. RNAcentral's name for it is "partial 16S ribosomal RNA". It matches the Rfam family "Bacterial small subunit ribosomal RNA", at positions 354 to 796 of the family's 1533-position model. The record is from RNAcentral.
GUGGGGAAUCUUGCGCAAUGGGCGAAAGCCUGACGCAGCCAUGCCGCGUGGAUGAUGAAGGUCUUAGGAUUGUAAAAUCCUUUCACCGGUGAAGAUAAUGACUGUAGCCGGAGAAGAAGCCCCGGCUAACUUCGUGCCAGCAGCCGCGGUAAUACGAAGGGGGCUAGCGUUGCUCGGAUUUACUGGGCGUAAAGGGCGCGUAGGCGGACAUUUAAGUCAGGGGUGAAAUCCCGGGGCUCAACCUCGGAACUGCCUUUGAUACUGGGUGUCUUGAGUAUGAGAGAGGUGUGGGGAACUCCGAGUGUAGAGGUGAAAUUCGUAGAUAUUCGGAGGAACACCAGUGGCGAAGGCGGCUCACUGGCUCGAUACUGACGCUGAGGUGCGAAAGCGUGGGGAGCAAACAGGAUUAGAUACCCGGGUAGUCC